UGAGGAAUCGUACGCAAUGGGCGCAAGCCUGACGUCGCGACACCGCGUGAAGGAAGAAGCUUUUCGGAGUGUAAACUUCUUUUCUGAAGGACGAUUAUGACGGUACUUCAGGAAUAAGCCACGGCUAACUUCGUGCCAGCAGCCGCGGUAAUACGAGGGUGGCAAGCGUUAUCCGGAUUUAUUGGGCGUGAAGAGCGCGUAGGUUGUUUAUUAAGUCUCGACACAAAUCCCACCGCCCAACGGUGGACCCUGUCGAGAUACUAUUAGACUAGUGGGUAGCAGGGGUAAGCGGAAUUCCCGGUGUAGGAGUAAAAUCCAUUGAUAUCGGGAGGAACACCUAUGGCGAAGGCAGCUUACUAGGCUAUCUCAGACACUGAGGCGCGAAAGCGUGGGGAGCGAA
RNAcentral lists this ribosomal RNA (400 nucleotides) under uncultured bacterium. Its description in RNAcentral is "bacterial SSU rRNA". It matches the Rfam family "Bacterial small subunit ribosomal RNA", at positions 355 to 772 of the family's 1533-position model. The record is from RNAcentral.